CCAAUUCCAGAUGAAGAACUGGUCUCCUAUAUCCUUGCCAGGCUUGAUAUGGAAUAUCAGCCACUGGUGUCGGCACUUGAUGCUCGCACCACCAUGGUCUUCCUUGAUGAUCUGUUUGCUCAGAUGAGUAACUUUGAUC
Non-coding RNA from Hordeum vulgare subsp. vulgare (domesticated barley), 139 nucleotides. Lineage: Eukaryota; Viridiplantae; Streptophyta; Magnoliopsida; Poales; Poaceae. The record is from Rfam.